GUGACUCGAAGAAGCCUUCCAAAAAGCGUGUGAAAAGGGAGCCCUACUCUACUACCAAGGUGACUUCAGGGAGCACAUUCAAUGAGAAUACAAGAAGAUAUGCUGUGCACACCAACCAGUGUCGGAGACCUCAUGGCUCCCCGGUAAAGAAGAAGAGGUACCCACAAGAAGAUGACUUCCAUCAUACAGUCUUCAGCAACCUUGAAAGAUUGGACAAGCUUCAGCCCACUCUUGAAGCCUCUGAGGAGUCUCUAGUUCACAAGGACAGAGGAGAUGGAGAGAGGCCAGUCAACGCGAGGGUGGUGCAGGUGGCCCCUCUGAGGCGUGAAUCUA
RNAcentral lists this long non-coding RNA (333 nucleotides) under Pan troglodytes (chimpanzee). Its description in RNAcentral is "lincRNA". Lineage: Eukaryota; Metazoa; Chordata; Mammalia; Primates; Hominidae. The record is from RNAcentral.